GUCUAUGGCCAUGCUACCCUGAACGUGUCUGAUCUCAUCUGAUCUCAGAAGAUAAGCAGGGUUGGGCCUGGUUAGUACUUAGAUGGGAGACAACCUAGGAAUACCAAGUGCUGUAGGUU
Molecule: ribosomal RNA, 119 nt
Filed under: Pteropus alecto (black flying fox)
Lineage: Eukaryota; Metazoa; Chordata; Mammalia; Chiroptera; Pteropodidae
Source: RNAcentral